Mytilus californianus (California mussel) is the source of this 2598-nucleotide long non-coding RNA. RefSeq lists it as uncharacterized. The record is from RefSeq and is a predicted model, not a curated record. Lineage: Eukaryota; Metazoa; Mollusca; Bivalvia; Mytilida; Mytilidae. The transcript is spliced from 6 exons.
UAAGCUUAUUCAUCAAUGAGUAUUUAAGAGAUUUGUAGAAUGCCUGUCAACUAGAACAUUAUUUACGUAUUAUGAUAACACAUUUAAAAAAUUAAGUGAUAUGCUAUUUCUAUAAUUAACUUGAAAGUUCCGUGUAUUUCAACAUGCUCAAGUUCUCGGAAUGUGAUUAGGUCUUUUUCUUAGAAACGCGAAAUUCGAACAUCGAGAUACAAUAAAUUAUAACUAUAUGUGUGUUUAAAAGGUGUGGUACGACAGUGAUUAUUUGUUAGAUGCCAGUGUGUUUUAUAGUUAUAUUUAUGUUAUUAUGAAGUCUAGCUUAAUUCGUAUACGUUUACAUAAGUUCGAAAGAAGUUGUAAGAAAUAUAUUUUAUUGGUCAUUUGGCAAUCUAACGGUCAACAUAAACAGGGAAAAUUUGCAGAAGCAUUUAUUCGUUACCGUGUCCGUCACUUGACGGUACAUACAUUUUUGUCCUGAUGAUCUUGCAUUUUCUAAAUUAAAUGAAAGCGACCAAUAGUUUAAAGUAAAAAUAAUUAACAUGAUCAAGGUCGUUGUUCUUGAAACCUUUUUAUUAUGGGAAAAUUGGGUUUUUUUUCUUUAUUUUCAUGUCUUGGUCCAAAACUGAAACUCAUUAUGAUCAAAUAUACAUAUAAGAUAAGGGAUCUUAUGGAUUUCAAGAUUUGAUUUCAUUGCCGCAGCUGGUACAUGUACAAUUGUUGCACAAUAAUCAAUAUAAUGAUGUAAACUUUUUAAGAUUCCAUUUCAAGUAGGAUUUGAUAUAUUUAUAUUUUACCCUGUGGUUGAAACAAAUACAAAGGAAAAAGGUGUACCUCUUUACUCUUUGUGUGAAGUAGCUAAUGGAACAUCAAUAUAAAGGAUAGAAAAAUACCUACAGGAACAUUGAUAAGUAUUUGUACUAUUAAGAAACUACGGUUAUAUCACUCUCAGGAAGAAUUGCCCCUUAGUAUAUUCGGCUAAAUGUUUCUAUCCCUUUUGAUCAUAUUGCUUUUUAAUAUUAAAGAUUAAACAUCCUUGACUAUAACAAUUUGCAGUAGGACUGUCCUGAUGAAAGGAAAUCCAGAGAAGCAUUUCGGACUCAUCAAAAUUAUUUACAAACUAUUUUUGUAUUGCAAUUGGUUUAAGUUAAGGUUAAAAAUGAAUAAACAUACUUCCAUAAAAGAGUGGUCUCUGCAACAUUAAAACAAUUAUAUUUGCAUGGUGACAUAAUGUAUGUAUGUAACACAAAAUGUUUGUUGUCUGUUUUCUACAGUUUUAUAACAGGGCCGUAAUAUUGCUUAAUGCUAAAAUGUUUUACUUUUCAGGUUUCUGAAGUCUGUCUUAACUGGUGCCUUUUAUAUGAGGGAUGAUGCGCUUCUCCUUUAUGACGCCAUCAAAGAUUACGUUCAGAAAUAUGUGACUCACUACUAUGUAUUGAAUGUCUAAAGUGGUUAACAAGAUGAAAUGAAAUACAAGACUGGGGUGCAGAAAUUGUUAUGUCAGUAGAUGAUGGUGGUGCUGGAAUUAAGAACGCACAGCUUUGGGGAUGAAUUGUGCAUCGGUUAUAUAUCAUGAGAUGACGGGCGUCAAAAAUGGAGGGAGAUUUGAAACAACUGACCAACUAGUUAUGACAUUGACACCAAUCAUUUAUGCAUGUAGCGUUGGACAUGCAGUAGCCAACUACCAACAGUAUGAAGAGUAUGGAGAUCCAUUUAAUUACUUAUUUAUUAUGCAUGGAGUUCCUCCUAAGGAAAAGUGAGAAGGAUAAACAGAAACUUGGUGAUUUUGAGGAACUGACAUUUACAGAUCCACCACCCAUUCAAAUACUAGAAGAGUUUCAACAAAACUUGAGAGAUAUUGGUAAAACAAUUGACGAACGGAACAAAUCGAGAGAACCAGCUUAUGAUUGGCUUCAUCCAAGAUCAAUACCAAAUUCUAUUUCCAUUUAGAGUUAUCGCUUCACUCAACAACAUUAACACCAUCAUUUGAAUAGUUUGCAUGCUGACUUAUAUGAGAAUAGUUUAACUUAAUGAAUGUGCCUUUGAAGAAAGUAUGGGAAAAGAAAAAAAAUAAAUUUCCUUAUACUUUGCCAAAAUGUAGUUUAUAUUAUGAAAACUCAAUAAGUAAAUAUAAGUAUAAAUUACACUUACAGGAUUUUAAUCUACAGAGAGUGCAAAUUUUUAUUAUGUUGUUAGGAUUGUACACAAGGAAAAAAAUCCGUACUAAGUGACUUUUGAAAAAAAAAUAUGGACUUUGAAAAUUGGAAAUUAAACACUCAGGAGAUAAUUGCUUUUUUCCUUUAAAAAUAAAACUAAUAACAUUGGGUUUCGUAUUCUUUUUCUUGUUACAAACAAAUGACACAUCUGACAAGUCGACUGAUAUAUUUGACAAGAAAUGUAAGUGGGUAUUUAAAGUAAUAUGAUGUAUACUGCAUAAUAUAAUGGUAUUUUCUAUUCUAUGACUGACUUCCUUCACUCAAAACAUGCUAUUAGGUCAUUGUUUUAUUGUAAUCUUUGGAAAAAAGUUUACCACAUCACACUACAAUUUGUACUUUACUGAUUAGUAUAACAUAUCUUUCAAAUAAAUGUUUUCUGAUAAAAUCA